UACGUAGGGUGCAAGCGUUAAUCGGAAUUACUGGGCGUAAAGCGUGCGCAGGCGGUUGUGUAAGACAGAUGUGAAAUCCCCGGGCUUAACCUGGGAACUGCAUUUGUGACUGCACGGCUGGAGUGCGGCAGAGGGGGAUGGAAUUCCGCGUGUAGCAGUGAAAUGCGUAGAUAUGCGGAGGAACACCGAUGGCGAACGCAAUCCCCUGGGCCUGCACUGACGCUCAUGCACGAAAGCGUGGGGAGCAAACAGG
RNAcentral lists this ribosomal RNA (253 nucleotides) under uncultured bacterium. RNAcentral's name for it is "partial 16S ribosomal RNA". It matches the Rfam family "Bacterial small subunit ribosomal RNA", at positions 524 to 776 of the family's 1533-position model. The record is from RNAcentral.